This is a long non-coding RNA of Lotus japonicus, 851 nucleotides long. RefSeq lists it as uncharacterized. NCBI's taxonomy places the organism in Eukaryota, Viridiplantae, Streptophyta, Magnoliopsida, Fabales, Fabaceae. The transcript is spliced from 5 exons. The record is from RefSeq and is a predicted model, not a curated record.
UUGUUCACAACUGUUCACUUCUUACUUCUUAUUUUCGUCGGUUCACACUGAAACUUUCUAGUUGUUCGGUUACCUUAGUUUCUACUGCAUGCGUAGGGUUUCUUAAACUUUAUGGGAUUUUGUACGUGUUCACCUUUGCUCGUUGCUAAUUCGUUAGAUUUUAUUCCAAUCUCAAGAUGAAGAUGUUUCUCAACCUAAUCGAUUGCACGCAAUUUUGAUAAUUUUCAGUUUGUUAACUUCACUGACAAAGUGUUUAAGAAAGCAAGCACCUUGGUUAAAGAAGCUGCUUUUGCUCCCGUUGCUCCUCCGAUGGAGGAAGUCAUUGUUGGAAGUCAUUCUUGGCGUUUUAUUGAUUCUUUUUUUAAUUAUCUACUUGUGUAUUUCCCUCUCGGACAAACAUAAUUGGCCAAAUUAUCUGGACCUUAUCGGAUAUCAGCCGCGAUACCAAAUGGAUAUGUCACAUACACGGUUUCCAGUUCUUGAUUCUCCGCCUGCGUCACGAGCACAUUUUCCUCCUAUGCAAGAUGAGUCACAAAUCCAAAACCAAAUUGUAUGUGAUAUUUGUCAAACAAAGGGAAAAGAAUUGGCCUUUGGAUGUGGUCACAUGGCUUGCAAAAAUUGUGGAUCCAAACUACGCAAUUGUCACAUAUAUAUGUCGUAAAAGGAUCAAAAGUCGUCUUAGGGUGUUUUUAUAAAUUUAAUGAUGUGGCUUUAAGAGUGGUCUUGCAUAAAAAGAUAGUUUGUAUUGCAAAUGAGUUUGAAUUGAUUGAAAUUUAUUUCAAUAGCUAGUCGUAUAGUACUGUUUAUAUUAGCUUGUUCUACUUCUAUUAAAACUUCUGAUCUGUUAUGUU